UACGGGGGGGGUAAGCGUUGUUCGGAAUUACUGGGCGUAAAGGGCUCGUAGGCGGCCCACUAAGUCGGACGUGAAAUCCCUCAGCUUAACUGGGGAACUGCGUCUGAUACUGGAUGGCUUGGAUUUGGGAGAGGGAUGCGGAAUUCCAGGUGUAGCGGUGAAAUGCGUAGAUAUCUGGAGGAACACCGGUGGCGAAGGCGGCAUCCUGGACCAACAUUGACGCUGAGGAGCGAAAGCCAGGGGAGCAAACGUG
This 253-nucleotide ribosomal RNA is filed under the name uncultured bacterium. RNAcentral's name for it is "partial 16S ribosomal RNA". It matches the Rfam family "Bacterial small subunit ribosomal RNA", at positions 524 to 776 of the family's 1533-position model. The record is from RNAcentral.